CCGUUGUCUCCAGCAGACCUGCGCAGCGCCGCAGCACCGCCCAAGCAACCCAGCACGACGCCAGCACCUUGUACCACCCGUGCGACGAACGAGAGAUCCCCUUGACCCGUCACUGCGUCACCGCCGCCCCUCGUGCCCUUGCUAGAGUCUGUUCCCGGCGUUCUUAUCCUCUCCACCAGGGAACCGACGGCCCCAGCUAUUUAAGGAGCCCCUGACUGUUGAAGCUCGACGAAAAGCAUCCCCUUGAAGCCAUAGCCAACUCCCCAAGCCCCAAUUUAAUCCGUAGUUCUCUUCUUCCCUGGUUCCGGUGAGAUCCAUCGCUGCAGCCACCGCGGAGAGAUUCAAGCUUGCCAGAGUCACUCUGCCCCACCCGAGCCCGCCAUUGAUUCCCCCUGGACCUCCUGAAGCUUUUCCCUAGCUCAGCCCUGCCCUAGAACUCUUCCUAGCUAGUGCCCCGCUAGAGCCGAAGCUUCCCUCCGCCGUGGAGGAAGGGACGCUCAACUCCGACCACGCCCGCAGCCCCAAGGCACGGGAAUAGAUCGCGCCUCAUCACCUUGAGCACGCCGGUGCCCUUGGUUUCCCUGAUCGGAGGUCUCCACCGCCGGCGAGCCUCGCCGGAGCCCCUCCUUCCUUCGGCCAGAGGUGGAAGAAGGAGACCGGGUCAAACCUGCCAGCGGGCCCCGCUCGUCAGCGUCCCACCCCUUCGGCCUGAGCCCGCGCAAGUGGAAAAGCGCACUACGCCAAGUACGUUUUCCCUCCUGCGCUAGCGUCUUUUGACCGAAAACGUUUUCCUUCAUUUCUGUUUUUAAAACAUAUUCUGUUCAAAUUUUGUUUUGGCCACAACUUUUUAUAGGAAGCUCCAAAUGAGUUGAUUCUUUUUCUCACCCCUUUAAAAUGCUGUCUAUUUUAUUUUAGUAUUUAUUUAAAAAAAUCUAUGACAACUUUGUGUGCUGUUUUUGUAUUGUGUGUUAAUUAGCAUAUAUUCUUGGACUCCACCUAUCUACACUUGGAAGGAUUAAAACUUGCAAAAGUUUUGUGAUGAACUCCACCUAUCUACACUUGGAAGGCAAGCAUCUUGAACCCACUUUUUUUUCUUGGACAUAUAUGUUUGCCUGUUGAUAGUGACAUGGGAUUAUGUUACUCUUAUGGUGUUAUUUCAUGUGGCAAAUCAUGCAUGUGGAUACAUGAUUUCGAGGAUAAAAGUUUCUUUGAAUUUGGUGCAUGGAUAGUGGUCACCCCUUCCUGCCCUACAUGCCUACCGAAUGAGGUUUGGUGAGAGUCGUGGUCCUAUGGAGACACGACCAUGGAUUGACAUCUCGUUGAUGAGGUCAAUAAGGCAUGUUGGGUGGGCAGUGACUCUAUCUAUACCCGGGUUGUACUAAUCAUGCAGGUAACGUUUAAACCUCCUAAGUCGACCAUAGAUCGAGUCUUGUGAGUAUGUCUCCUUACUUGCGUGCUACCAUAGCUUCCUGGAUAAUGGAUCAGGUACACUCAGUUGUGGACCUAUUAUUAAUCACACACCAUUAGAGGGGCCGGGAUGAAGUUAUCCACGACCGUGGUAUAAAUCCAGUCAUACGAUGAGGGCGCAUGGGUGUUUCCCGUCUGGGACCGGAAGGGAGGGCACUCCCAUGAGCGUGCGAUAUAAAUAUUGUGAUCCCAUGCUAGUCGAGGUCGGAGCCUCCCCGUCUUAUGGUUUUACCUUGGUAGCGUAGUCCGGGUGAGACCGGGCUUCGUGGAGGUAAAGUUGGUGUGUGUUGAUUCUGAGUGUCCACUUAUAAAAUACCGUACACGGGAUUAGUCAUGAUGUCUAUUGAAAACAGUGAACUAUGGGUAAAUAGUACAUCCUCUACAGAGUCAAAACUAUUCGAGUAGCCGUGUCCACGGUCAAGGACGUUGGUUGACUGGCCAAGUGUCGGUCUUUGGAGGUGGUUAGAGGAAAGUGACACAAAUCCGGUGAUAUGGUUGACGAUUAUAAUUAUUAUAUUCUCAAGACUAACCAUUAUGAUUUUAUUGUCGGAUAUCCUUGGGACGGUUCUACCUCCUGGAUAUUCUUUAUUAUCAUUUCUUAUAAGCCCUUUAUGUGGUGUCGCUCAGACGCCCGACUGUGGCAUUGUUAUAUCAUUUCUUAUAAGCCCUUUAUGUGGUGUCGCUCAUACGCCCGACUGUGGCAUUGGUUUAUCAUUUCUUAUAAGCCCUUUAUGUGGUGUCGCUCAGAUGCCCGACUAUGGCUUUGUUUUAUCAUUUCUUAUAAGCCCUUUAUGUGGUGUCGCUCAGACGCGCGACUGUGGCAUACUUUAUAAUGCAUAUGUUAUUAUUAUCUCUUAGGAUGGCCUAACAAAUUCAAUAUGAUUAUUACUUUACUACUAAUGCUAGAAUAGUGUUUUGAGUUGUUGUAGUAUUCUGGUAUUAUUAUGUGUGUUGAUUAACCUGUCAAGUCCUAUGUUUGUUUUCUUGAUGUUUGCGAGUACAUUCAAAGUACUCACUGGCUUGUCCCUGGCUAUUGUCUUGGCCAGGUAGCGUGCUUGGGAAGGUUGAGCAUGUCGAUGAACCCCGGGCAUAGACAUUAAAGGCAGCUUCCGUGCAAGAUAGGAGUUAACCCGGUCAGCUGUUCCUGUGGGAAAUGUAGUCCCAGAGGAGUUGGAGAUCCCUGUAGCGCUUCCGCUAUCAACAACUAGAAACCCUUUUGAUGUACUCAUCAGACCACCUUGGUCUUGUACUUCAAUUUGUAUUUUUCUUGGAUAUUUGUAUCAAGGAAAGGUGUGCCAGCUAACAGUAUUCCUUGGGCUGGUAUGCUUGAGGGCCAUUUGAAAGGGAAAUGUAAAAUCCCCGAAAAUCCGGUCCCCACAUACACCCCCACUAGGUCCAUUGGAGCAAAGUUGUCAGAAUCGCGACUCAAGUCUUAGAAUCUUACGACUUUACGAUCCAAACUAGCCCCUCUGAUUCUACGAUUUUGCUCAUAGAAUCUAAGAUUCUACGAUCCUGGUAGUUAUGAUUCUACGAUUCACGAUCCUACCAACAGAGCUCCGAUCCGAUUCAGAAUCGCGAUUCUGACAACCUUGCAUUGGAGAGCUUACCUUAGCUCAUAUGUGCAUCCAUUGCAUGGCAAUCCCUACUCCUCACAUCAUAUCUAUCAUUUGGCUUUCUCUCGCCUAUGGUUGUCCUCAUUGAUGUGAGCCUUUCACACCUUUUUGUCU
Molecule: long non-coding RNA, 3194 nt
Filed under: Hordeum vulgare
Lineage: Eukaryota; Viridiplantae; Streptophyta; Magnoliopsida; Poales; Poaceae
Description: long non-coding RNA (HVUL_LNC007681)
Source: RNAcentral